RNAcentral lists this ribosomal RNA (536 nucleotides) under uncultured Gammaproteobacteria bacterium. Its description in RNAcentral is "bacterial SSU rRNA". It matches the Rfam family "Bacterial small subunit ribosomal RNA", at positions 1 to 533 of the family's 1533-position model. The record is from RNAcentral. Lineage: Bacteria; Pseudomonadati; Pseudomonadota; Gammaproteobacteria.
GCCCUUGAGUUUGAUCCUGGCUCAGAUUGAACGCUGGCGGUAUGCUUAACACAUGCAAGUCGAACGGUAACAGCAGAGCUUGCUCUGGCUGACGAGUGGCGGACGGGUGCGUAACGCGUAGGAAUCUGCCUAUUAGUGGGGGACAACAUGAGGAAACUCAUGCUAAUACCGCAUACGCCCUACGGGGGAAAGCAGGGGAUCUUCGGACCUUGCGCUAAUAGAUGAGCCUGCGUUAGAUUAGCUAGUUGGUGAGGUAAUGGCUCACCAAGGCGACGAUCUAUAGCUGGUCUGAGAGGACGAUCAGCCACACUGGGACUGAGACACGGCCCAGACUCCUACGGGAGGCAGCAGUGGGGAAUAUUGGACAAUGGGCGCAAGCCUGAUCCAGCAAUACCGCGUGUGUGAAGAAGGCCUGAGGGUUGUAAAGCACUUUCAAUAGGGAGGAAAACAGGCAGGUCAAUAUCCUGUCUCUUGACAUUACCUAUAGAAGAAGCACCGGCUAACUCCGUGCCAGCAGCCGCGGUAAUACGAAGGGC